This 255-nucleotide ribosomal RNA is filed under the name uncultured bacterium. RNAcentral describes it as "partial 16S ribosomal RNA". It matches the Rfam family "Bacterial small subunit ribosomal RNA", at positions 215 to 471 of the family's 1533-position model. The record is from RNAcentral.
GCGCUAUCAGAUGAGCCUAGGUCGGAUUAGCUAGUUGGUGGGGUAAUGGCUCACCAAGGCGACGAUCCGUAACUGGUCUGAGAGGAUGAUCAGUCACACUGGAACUGAGACACGGUCCAGACUCCUACGGGAGGCAGCAGUGGGGAAUAUUGGACAAUGGGCGAAAGCCUGAUCCAAACGUGCCGCGUGUGUGAAGAAGGUCUUCGGAUUGUAAAGCAAUUGAAGUGGGAGGAAGGGCAGUAAAUUAAUACUUUG